UACGAAGGGGGCUAGCGUUGUUCGGAAUUACUGGGCGUAAAGCGCGCGCAGGCGGUCUUCCAAGUCAGUGGUGAAAGCCUGGAGCUCAACUCCAGAACUGCCAUUGAAACUGUUAGACUUGAGUACGAGAGAGGUGAGUGGAAUUCCCAGUGUAGAGGUGAAAUUCGUAGAUAUUGGGAAGAACACCGGUGGCGAAGGCGGCUCUCUGGGACGGUACUGACGCUGAGACGCGAAAGCGUGGGGAGCGAACAGG
RNAcentral lists this ribosomal RNA (253 nucleotides) under uncultured bacterium. RNAcentral's name for it is "partial 16S ribosomal RNA". It matches the Rfam family "Bacterial small subunit ribosomal RNA", at positions 524 to 776 of the family's 1533-position model. The record is from RNAcentral.